Transfer RNA from Sphaerobolus stellatus SS14, 82 nucleotides. It matches the Rfam family "tRNA". From Rfam's summary of the family: Transfer RNA (tRNA) molecules are approximately 80 nucleotides in length. Their secondary structure includes four short double-helical elements and three loops (D, anti-codon, and T loops). The record is from Rfam. NCBI's taxonomy places the organism in Eukaryota, Fungi, Basidiomycota, Agaricomycetes, Geastrales, Sphaerobolaceae.
GACGAUGUAGCCAAGCGGUUACGGCGAUUGAUUAGAAAUCAAUUCCUCUUUGAGGGCGUAGGUUCGAAUCCUGCCAUCGUCG